Non-coding RNA from Danio rerio (zebrafish), 1279 nucleotides. The record is from RefSeq and is a predicted model, not a curated record. NCBI's taxonomy places the organism in Eukaryota, Metazoa, Chordata, Actinopteri, Cypriniformes, Danionidae.
AAAACAAGUUAAUUUCAUUCAAUUAAAAGUAAUUAGAAAAAAAUACGUUUCAUUUAAUUUCCAUAUACUAUCCGGUCUGCGCAUGUGCAGACACUUUUUUUCCUGAAGGCGCCAAGGCGGGGAGGUUGAACGUGAUGCACUCAUUUGAAUGCUGCAUCCAGCUCUGCAUUUUCGGUAAGUAAUCAAUAUAUAAUCAUUGGUGUGUUAUAUUUGUUACUUAAACAGGGUUCUGUUUACACUUUUAAACAUUUUAUAGAAAAAUGUGUUUAGCUAAUGCUAAAUUGGUAUGUUUUUAUAUCAAUUAACGUUACAUUAAAUUAAAUUACAACUAAGGUUUCAGCGAUUAGCUUAACUACGUGAGUUGUGUAAGGUUAGUAAGUUAACUUAGCUUAAGUGUUAAAUGCUUGGUGAAUUCAGUGUUUGUCUUGAUUAUUUAUUAGUUUGUGGAAGCCGAAUAAAAGCAAAACAGUUUUACGAAUGUUAACGUUAAUUGUAGCAGCACCUUCCUUGCUGUCUAGGCUUGUAACGUUACGUUACGUUAGACUGGCCAAGCCUAACAUUACAUAACGUUAUUCCUGACUGGCUGUAAGCAUUUCUUGUAAUCUUGUCAAUGUGUUAACAUUAGAACAAAAUAGACCUGUGAAAUCAUGUUGGUAAAAUAUGCUUAAUGUGCACUGGCGGCAAGAAUUUAUGUUUCUACAUAAUCAUAAUGGCAGGCAUAAGUUACGUUGGGUACGUGGAUUUAUCAUUUCUUUAAAAGUUUGUAUUUUUUUUUACACCCGUAGACCCGCUCCUACUCUGCCGCUGACUGGCUCCGACCGAUCGUGACGUCGCUCCACUUGCGCAAACCAAACCAAAGAGCUUCUUUGACCUAACCAACGAUUGCAACGGACACUAGCCAAUCAGAGGCAGGUCUUCGCGGAAUGCGAGUAGGAAAAGUAAACAAGCUUCUCUUUGGUGGCAGCGGCAUGGGUCGCAGUCCUCGUGGACGGUCUCCGACUCGCCUUAUCAGAGUUUAAAACGUAAAGAUAAAUGUUGAAUUCCAGCGCAUAACAACCAUCCCACUUGAAACAACCUUUAUGGCUCAGUUGGACAGCCAUUUACCCUAGCUAACAUCUAUUUUCAUCAAAAAGGAAGGUGUUUCUGGCCAAAAACUAGCCAAACAUCUGGCGAUCUUGCAAGAGGCUACAAGUGACAUCAAUCUUAAAUGGGCAGCAGUCCUCAAGGCACUUUGCAUCUAUCUUGGUGAGGAUGAUGAACAUCUCAUUCAGGAGUAUAA